RNAcentral lists this ribosomal RNA (309 nucleotides) under uncultured Polaribacter sp. Its description in RNAcentral is "bacterial SSU rRNA". It matches the Rfam family "Bacterial small subunit ribosomal RNA", at positions 28 to 334 of the family's 1533-position model. Lineage: Bacteria; Pseudomonadati; Bacteroidota; Flavobacteriia; Flavobacteriales; Flavobacteriaceae. The record is from RNAcentral.
GAUGAACGCUAGCGGCAGGCUUAACACAUGCAAGUCGGAGGGGUAACAUUGUGCUUGCACAGAUGACGACCGGCGCACGGGUGCGUAACGCGUAUAGAACCUUACCUUUUACAGAGGGAUAGCCUUUAGAAAUGAAGAUUAAUACCUCAUAGUAUUGAGUAUUCGCAUGAAUAUUUAAUUAAAGAUUUAUUGGUAAAAGAUGACUAUGCGUCCUAUUAGCUAGAUGGUAAGGUAACGGCUUACCAUGGCAACGAUAGGUAGGGGUCCUGAGAGGGAGAUCCCCCACACUGGUACUGAGACACGGACCAG